Physcomitrium patens is the source of this 1381-nucleotide long non-coding RNA. RefSeq lists it as uncharacterized. The record is from RefSeq and is a predicted model, not a curated record. NCBI's taxonomy places the organism in Eukaryota, Viridiplantae, Streptophyta, Bryopsida, Funariales, Funariaceae.
AUUUACUCUAUUGGGUAGUAAGGUAUUAAUUUUAGAAUUUAAUGUUUUAUUAGUGACCUUUCAAUAUUCUUAUUUUUUCCUUAAAUUGUAAAAGAUAUUUUACCACUCGAAGAACACAAAUCAGUUUCGGUUGAAUUAAAACAAAGAGGACUUUUAAGCAGAUAUUCAACACACAAAAAAUAUUUGUGUACAUGAUUUUUUAAUAUAAAUAUAUAGGAAUGUUAAGUUUUGAGAAGUGAAUAUUUCUCUGUCUAACAAUUUUCAGUUGUUUCUUCUUCAAAUUCUUCAAAUUCAUUAUUUGAAAGAACAUAAGAGAUAAUUUCCUUGUUGAAUUUUUCAGCACAUUGCUAUUUAUCCAAAAUAUGAUUCAUCUUCAUAAAUGUAACUAAGAGAAAAAUGAAAUAUUAAUUUAUUGGAUUAAGACAAUGAUAAAUGUAUCCAUGCUUGAGAUACAAAGCACAAAUGAACACUUGUUUCCAAUUCACAUGUAGAGUAGUUUAAUGCAAGCAAUCAUUCUUAUCAUUACAUACAUAGAAGUACCUAAAGCAUGAGGAAAAUGGAGACAAAGAAAUCCGAUUUCACAACCAAUCAAAUCAAACAUGCAAGCACCGAAGAUCUUAAAAUAACUUAAAUAUCAACUAUUGACUUUCCUACAAUAAUUGAAUUAUCUUAAUAGACAUUAUGAUAAAGAGAUCAUCAAAACUUCUUUAAAAUGAAUUGUUGAGGUUCUAUCACCUUUUCAUUUUCAUUUUUAUUUCUUUAAGGCGACUUUCUAUACUCUUGAUUAUUUUUUGGAAGAUUUUUUUUAUUAGAAAUACACAAUAGGUUGUGGAAAGAAUUCCAAAAUGGAGGUCCAAGCGCCGAUGGAGCCCCUCGGAUUGGCCCCAAUUUUGGACAUGACCGCUUCAAAACCAAUAAAAAAUGGAAAAGAAGGAAUCAAAGAUAGCAACAAUUCAAAAUCCAUGCGCGAUAAAGAAGAACUCAAAGAUAACAACAUAUUAGAAAUGGAGCUCAAAAAAGAAGAAAUGAAAGAUGGCGAUGUAACUAAACCGACGUGUGAGAAGGAGGAAAUGAAAGAGAGUGGUAUUCCCAAAACAAAGCGAGAUAUAAUUAUAGACAAUACCCAACAAAUAUUGGAUAAAUUGGGUAAUAUCACAAAAGUAAUUGUUGAUAGAAAUGAGAAAUUAAAGGAACAAGGCAUUGUGGGUAAAGAAACCACUCAACUUAUUCAAACUAUGGAAGAAGCUCAAACUGCUUUCAAUAAAAUUGGCCAUGUCAAAGAUCCAUAAAAUUGUAUGUAAACAUUUAUUUUGUCAAGGGAUAAUUUUUUUGUAAAUGAAAAUAAAUAAAUAAAACCACUUCUAUUAAUAUUUCUUUAUUU